UACGUAGGGGGCAAGCGUUGUCCGGAUUUAUUGGGCGUAAAGAGCGUGUAGGCGGCCAGAUAGGUCGGUUGUGAAAACUGGAGGCUCAACCUCCAGACGUCGAUCGAAACCAUCUGGCUAGAGUCCGGAAGAGGAGAGCGGAAUUCCUGGUGUAGCGGUGAAAUGCGCAGAUAUCAGGAGGAACACCCGUGGCGAAAGCGGCUCUCUGGGACGGUACUGACGCUGAGACGCGAAAGCGUGGGGAGCGAACAGG
RNAcentral lists this ribosomal RNA (253 nucleotides) under uncultured bacterium. RNAcentral describes it as "partial 16S ribosomal RNA". It matches the Rfam family "Bacterial small subunit ribosomal RNA", at positions 524 to 776 of the family's 1533-position model. The record is from RNAcentral.